CGAGAAUUUUUCACAAUGGGCGAAAGCCUGAUGGAGCGACGCCGCGUGGGGGAUGAAUGGCUUCGGCCCGUAAACCCCUGUCAUUUGCGAACAAACCUUGCUAUUUAAAAGAUGGCGAGCUGAUUGUAGCGAAAGAGGAAGGGACGGCUAACUCUGUGCCAGCAGCCGCGGUAAUACAGAGGGGGCAAGCGUUGUCCGGAAUUACUGGGCGUACAGGGCACGCAGGUGGCCGUACAGGUGGCGUGUGAAAGCCCCGCGCUUAACGCGGGGAGUGCAGGCCAAACGGUGCGGCUCGAGCGAUGCAGAGGGUGGGGGAAUUGCCGGUGUAGUGGUGAAAUGCGUAGAGAUCGGCAGGAACACCAAAGACGAAGGUACCCACCUGGGCAUCAGCUGACACUCAGGUGCGACAGCGUGGGGAGCGAAC
Molecule: ribosomal RNA, 424 nt
Filed under: uncultured bacterium
Lineage: Bacteria
Description: bacterial SSU rRNA
Rfam family: Bacterial small subunit ribosomal RNA
Source: RNAcentral